This 68-nucleotide transfer RNA is filed under the name Habropoda radoszkowskii. RNAcentral describes it as "tRNA-Leu". The record is from RNAcentral. Lineage: Eukaryota; Metazoa; Arthropoda; Insecta; Hymenoptera; Apidae.
UUUAAUAUGGCAGAUUAGUGCGGUAGAUUUAAGCUCUAUUUAAAAAGAUUUUUUUUCUUUUAUUAAAA